AAAGAUGGCUGUGGCUGUGGAUUGGGCCCCAUCCCUGCCCCCCACGGCAACGGGCUGCUGUGUCAUUCCCGGGGAGUUAUGGCAUCACUGCUGCGAUGGGUGUAAAAACCUCAGCAAGUACAUAUAUGGUAGAAAAGACGACUCCUGCACCCCCCAGGACUGCAACUAACAGCUGCUUUUGCAGGGCUCCUUGUGACCAUAAAAGGUGGGUUAUACCUAAUGCCUGGCACUGGGAGAUGGAAAAUGCUGAGCUGCGGGAUGUCCCCGGCGGUUGGUGGACCACAGUUUGCCCUCCAUACAGGUGGGUUUCCCUGUGCAGUGCUGUCGUGGACCUCAGACUCCACAGCAGAUACAAGACAACUGAAAUUAGUUUAGC
Phalacrocorax carbo (great cormorant) is the source of this 376-nucleotide non-coding RNA. Lineage: Eukaryota; Metazoa; Chordata; Aves; Suliformes; Phalacrocoracidae. The record is from RefSeq and is a predicted model, not a curated record.